UGCAUAGCCUUUCAAAUUCAAACUUCAAUCUUCUUCGCAUCGUGCGGCAGAGCCCGACUCUUGACAGAAAAAAAAAUCAGAAACCUAGUCACUUUCGACUUAACAGUUGUAAAUUAUAUUAUCAAAUAAUUUAAAAUCGCUCAGAUAUUAGUCGGUGACUGAACAAAAAUUUGCGUUUCGAAUUCAAAUCGACGCGCUAACAAGACCAAGGAAAAGAUAACUAAAGCGUCGCUUCGUGUGUGUUAAUUGUAUAUUUGUUUAAAAACCCAGUCAAAAUGGUCGGCCCAAAGAAAAUGCGCGUGGAUGAGGUAAGUUUUGUUGCAUGCGAAGAUAUCGAUAGGUGAUACCCCAUAGAAGCGGUGUGGAGGAAAGAAGUUUGAACAGAGUGGCAAGGCCAAAAUUUAAGGGGAAAAGGUUAGCGAAGAGUGGCGCCACCUGGACCUGCAGAGUAAGAGUUCCGCGCGCUCUCCGGAGCCUUUAUGAGAGAAGAUUUCCGAUCUCAUCCCAUAACGGAGUCCCGAAGCCAACUCACCCAUACCCCAAAGAAAAGAGAGCCGCCAGCAGCCCGAAUCAGGCCAUGCCCUUGAACCUAGUUCAAGGGCGAUAGAAGAGAGCGAUGGGGAUCAGCGGCCCGGGAGCAUUAAACAGAGCAGCUAAGCCAAGAGGGGGUUCAGAGAAAGAAAUUCCCGCAACGGAGGAGCAUGCGCGCCGGACAUAGUGAUCUAGUGAUUUUUUUUUGUUCUGAAAGAAAAAGGGAUUCAGAUCAGUGAGAGACCAGGAACCAGGACUAGCGGGACGGGAAAGAGACCCAAGAGCAUAAGAGGAAUAGGUCACAGCUCCGCCAUCCUGGCUUGCUUUUUGCUGGGCUCGAAGGCACAAUCCUAGCCACGUAGAGCGGGUCCCUCGCCCAUUUAGGGAGAAAAAAAAGCAUCAAUUAACUUAUUUACUCCCAUUAUUUAUUUUUGUUAGACGUCUCCAUUUAUAUGUAUAUGUUAAUCCCCUAAUUUAAGUCCGCCCAUAUUA
Drosophila miranda is the source of this 1023-nucleotide long non-coding RNA. RefSeq lists it as uncharacterized. The transcript has 3 exons. Lineage: Eukaryota; Metazoa; Arthropoda; Insecta; Diptera; Drosophilidae. The record is from RefSeq and is a predicted model, not a curated record.